Molecule: ribosomal RNA, 252 nt
Filed under: Acidobacteriota bacterium
Lineage: Bacteria; Pseudomonadati; Acidobacteriota
Description: Acidobacteria bacterium partial 23S ribosomal RNA
Rfam family: Bacterial large subunit ribosomal RNA
Source: RNAcentral
AGUAGACUUUAUGGUCAAGCUACUAAGGGCGUGUGUGUGGAUGCCUUGGCGCAAGUAGGCGAAGAAGGACGUGGUCAGCUGCGAAAAGCUUCGGGGAGCCGCUAACAGGCUGUGAUCCGGAGAUAUCCGAAUGGGGAAACCCAACGGGUGUGAACACCCGUUACCGUCAUCUGAAUAUAUAGGAUGGCGGGGCGAACCGGGGGAAGUGAACCAUCUCAGUACCCCGAGGAGAAGAAAACAACCGUGAUUCCG